This is a long non-coding RNA of Gadus morhua (Atlantic cod), 1017 nucleotides long. RefSeq lists it as uncharacterized. The transcript is spliced from 2 exons. The record is from RefSeq and is a predicted model, not a curated record. Lineage: Eukaryota; Metazoa; Chordata; Actinopteri; Gadiformes; Gadidae.
CACAACACCAGGGAACACCCGAGCAUGUCUCCUAGUGCUUCCCCCGCCUCCCUGUCGUCUUGAAACCCAGGAAUGUGUCCGGGGACAGGAUAUGUAUAUAAAGAUCCCCGGGCGUGGAUGCGAAAUCUGCCCGCUGCAUAGAAGCGACUCAAUGUCUUCAAUGUCUCAUAUCUAUAAUUUCUCUGUCCCAUAUCUAUAAUGUCUCUGUCUCAGUCUCAUAUCUAUAAUGUCUCAAUGUAAUAUCUGUAAGGUGUCGUAUUCAUAGUGACUCAUGUCUAUGAGGUCUGGUAGUACACGUUGCUGUGUGCCGCAGGAAACAUCCACGCCUGCUCACCAGAGUAGUUGAUCAGCUAAAUCAAUGAUUUCUCUUGGUUAGUUUACACAGAGGGUGUGUCGUCUACUUCUGAACGGUCCGAACUUAACCCCGCUCCACACCGACAUAGAGACCGGGGGUCCGGUGUUUGAGUCGGUGGUCGGUGGUUUUAAAGCUGUUCACAUUGUGCUUUAUUUAUACACGAAAGCGAGUGCAGACUGCUCCCGUUUGGCCUCAUAUAAUGCUGACGACUGCUGAAUGUUUGAAUUGAAUCAAGUGGAAUAAAGGCAACAACCAAAACCUGUGAAUUGGACUACAUCCUGGAAAUGAAGAGACAGUGUGACCGAUAUUGACGAGGAAACGGAACACAGAAGACCACAGAAGGAAAGCCCUAACAGCCGAGGAGGGUGUGCCCAACCACGAUGCAGUCCCGGAGGACUCCCUAUAAUUUAGUUUUUAGGGGUAAUUUGGUUUCUUGUCAGUAUUUAGGUUUCUGAUGAUCCAUCUCACUAAUAAAAGGCCAUUUAAAGAGACCCUUGUUAAUUACCACAGUCAGAGAAACGGCCUUCAAAAGAGUUGAAACCUUUGAAAAACAGACUUAGCCUGUGGUCACAUCCAAUUGGCUGCGUUACAUGUGCAGUAAAGAUGGACAUGUAUGCCUUCUGUUGUAUCAUAAUGUACAAAUAUAGCCUGCUGUGGGUUGA